This 1821-nucleotide ribosomal RNA is filed under the name Triticum aestivum (bread wheat). RNAcentral describes it as "partial small subunit ribosomal RNA". Lineage: Eukaryota; Viridiplantae; Streptophyta; Magnoliopsida; Poales; Poaceae. The record is from RNAcentral.
AUGAAAUUUAAUUCCACAAAAGAGGCUUGGAACUUUUGGACAUGUUAUGGAGGUCAUAUUGGUUUUGAUGUAAGGAUAAAUUAUGAAAACAAGAGCAAACUCGAUGGAGUAAUCACUUCAGCAAGAUAUGUUUGUUCCAAUGAGGGCUACAGAAGAAAAGACAAAAGGGAUAAUAAUACAAAGCGUCCUCGUGCAGAAACAAGGACCGGCUGCAAUGUUCGAAUGGGAAUCACUAUAGACCGAGAAACAGGAAACUAUGAGGUGCAUGAGUUAGUUGUUGAACACAACCAUGUGUUGCAAUUACCUGGGACAAGCCACUUGAUGCCAUCACAGAGGAAAAUUUCGGCCUUGCAAGCAUUUGAAAUUGAAACAGCAGAUGAUUCAGGAAUUGUACCUAGAAAAGCCCAUGAGUUAGCAAGUCGACAAGUUGGUGGUCCACUGAACCUUGGCUACACAUGUCGUGAUCGCAAGAACCACUUGCGAACCAGACGUCAAAGAGACUUGAUGUAUGGUGAAGCUAGAAGUAUGCUCAAGUAUUUUAGAGAUAAAAAGAAUGAGAAUCCUGCAUUUGAAUAUGACAUGCAACUAGAUUGUGAUGAAAAUAUAGCAAAUAUCUUUUGGGCUGAUGCAAGGAUGAUCAUUGACUAUGCUCAUUUCGGUGAUGUUGUUACCUUCGAUACAACAUUUGGGACAAACAAAGAGUACAGACCCUUCGGUGUGUUUGUUGGCUUCAACCAUUUUAGAGAAAUGGUCAUUUUUGGUGCUGCACUUUUAUAUGAUGAGACAUUUGAAUCAUUCAAAUGGUUGUUCAACACGUUCCUAUCAGUGCAUAACAAAAAGCAACCUAGAACAAUAUUUACUGAUCAAGAUGUAGCAAUGGGUAAUGCAAUUCGGGCAGUAUUUAUGGAAGCAUGGCAUGGGUUGUGCACUUUUCACAUAAUGCAAAAUGCCAUCAGACACUUACCUCAUAAGAAAAAAGACAAGGAAGGACUAAAUGUACUUGCUGAUUUCAGUGCUUGCAUGUACAAGUAUGAGGAAGAGGAAGCCUUUGAAGAAGCUUUCAAUGCCAUAAGAAGCAAUGUGGAAACACAAACUUGGGUUGUGCAAGGAAAAAGAGAUAACGAGGUAAAUGAGGAAUACGAGUCUAGGAAAAAAUUACCUAGAGUCAGAAUGAGGACUCCUAUGGUAAUACAAGCUAGCAAAGUUUACACACCAUCCAUAUUUGAAGAUUUUCAGAAUGAAUAUGAAAGAUCCAUCUCAGCAUACAUCAAGCCAUCGAUAGAACACAAUGCAUAUACUGUUGCAAUUGCAAGUCUUGACCCAGAAUUCCCAUAUGAAGAAGAGUGCAAAGUACUAGUUAAUUAUGAAGAGCAAAAAGUUUUCUGCAAUUGUGGCCAAUUUGAAAGAGUUGGUAUAUUGUGUAGUCAUGCUUUGAAAGCCCUUGAUGUCAUGAAUAUCAAGUAUCUUCCAGGCCACUAUAUUUUGAAGCGAUGGACUCGAGAAGCGCGAAGCGGCACUAUUGAAAAUAGCCAUGGAAACAUUGUUUUGGAAGAUCCUAGAUCAGAAGAUAGACAACAGUUGAAGUUUUUCAUGCACGAGUUUCUUGGCAUAGCUUCACAAGCAGUAACAUCAGAAGAGUGUAUCAAACUAGUAGAUGAUGCUUUGAAGAUUCUUAGGAAGCAAGUUGAAGAGAAAACUCGCACUACUACAUGCAGAACUGAAGAUAUAUCUAAAGAACCAGAGGAUUGUUUAAAGGAUGCUUCCCUAAAGAAAAAGGAAAUUCCGAAGAAAAAUUCAAGAAGAAAGAAAACAUGGCUUGAC